GAUGAACGCUAGCGGCAGGCCUAACACAUGCAAGUCGAGGGGCAGCACAGGUAGCAAUACUGGGUGGCGACCGGCGGAUGGGUGCGUAACGCGUAUGCAACCUACCAUUGAUUGGGGCAUAGCCCGAAGAAAUUCGGAUUAAUACUCCAUAAUAUUCAUCAAAGGCAUCUUUUAUGAAUUAAAGCUUUUGCGAUCAAUGAUGGGCAUGCGUGACAUUAGUUAGUUGGUGAGGUAACGGCUCACCAAAACGAUGAUGUCUAGGGGUUCUGAGAGGAUUAUCCCCCAACUGGUACUGAGACACGGACCAGACUCCUACGGGAGGCAAGCAGUGAGGAAUAUUGGUCAAAUGGACGCAAGUCUGAACCAAGCCAUGCCGCGUGCAGGAUGACGGCCCUAUGGGUUGUAAACUGCUUUUUCCAGGGAGAGAAACUUGCGUACGCGUUGCGCAAUUGACGGUACCCUGGGAAUAAGCAUCGGCUAAC
Molecule: ribosomal RNA, 482 nt
Filed under: uncultured bacterium
Lineage: Bacteria
Description: bacterial SSU rRNA
Rfam family: Bacterial small subunit ribosomal RNA
Source: RNAcentral